AUUGAACGCUGGCGGCAGGCCUAACACAUGCAAGUCGAGCGGAUUCAUCGAGCUUGCUCCUGGAUUCAUCGGCGGCCGGGUGAGUAAUGCCUUGUAAUCUGCCUGGUAGUCGGGGAUCACGUCCUGAAACGGGCUCUACUCCCGCAUACGUCCUGUUGUCGCAAGUGGGUUAUCUUCGGACCUCACGCUAUCAUAUUAGCCUAGUUCGGAGGAGCUAGUUGGUGGGGUAACGGCCUACCAAGGCGACGAUCCGUAACUGGUCAGAGAGGAUGAUCAGUCACACGGGAAGAGAGAAACGGUACAGACUCCUACGGGAGGCAGCAGUGGGGAAUAUUAGACGAGGGGCGAGAGGGUGAUCCAGGCAAGCGGGGGGUGGGAAGAAGGUGUCAGGAUGGGAGAGCAAUGUAAGUUGGGAGGAAGGGAAGAAAGUUAAGAGCGGGAGGUAUUGACGUUACCAACAGAAGAAGCACCGGCUAACUUCGUG
RNAcentral lists this ribosomal RNA (484 nucleotides) under uncultured bacterium. Its description in RNAcentral is "partial 16S ribosomal RNA". It matches the Rfam family "Bacterial small subunit ribosomal RNA", at positions 30 to 507 of the family's 1533-position model. The record is from RNAcentral.